Molecule: ribosomal RNA, 447 nt
Filed under: uncultured bacterium
Lineage: Bacteria
Description: bacterial SSU rRNA
Rfam family: Bacterial small subunit ribosomal RNA
Source: RNAcentral
AACGAACGCUGGCGGCAGGCUUAACACAUGCAAGUCGAACGCGUGUAGCAAUACACGAGUGGCGCACGGGUGAGUAACGCGUGGAUAUCUGCCUUUUGGUUCGGAAUAACUCCGGGAAACUGGAGCUAAUACCGGAUGGUUCCUACGGGAUAAAGAUUUAUCGCCAAAAGAUGAGUCCGCGUACGAUUAGCUAGUUGGUGAGGUAAUGGCUCACCAAGGCGACGAUCGUUAGCUGGUCUGAGAGGACGAUCAGCCACACUGGGACUGAGACACGGCCCAGACUCCUACGGGAGGCAGCAGUGGGGAAUAUUGGACAAUGGGGGCGAACCCUGAUCCAGCCAUGCCGCGUGAGUGAUGAAGGCCUUCGGGUUGUAAGCUCUUUGGCGGGGACGAUGAUGACGGUACCGCAGAAUAAGCCCCGGCUAACUUCGUGCCAGCAGCCGCGGU